This 555-nucleotide ribosomal RNA is filed under the name Pichia pseudolambica. RNAcentral describes it as "eukaryotic LSU rRNA". It matches the Rfam family "Eukaryotic large subunit ribosomal RNA", at positions 73 to 658 of the family's 3401-position model. The record is from RNAcentral. Lineage: Eukaryota; Fungi; Ascomycota; Pichiomycetes; Pichiales; Pichiaceae.
AAUGCCAGUUAGCGCCGAGUGCAGCGGCAAGUGCUCAGAUUUGGAAUCGUGUUUCGGGCGAGUUGUGCAUUGCAGGUUGGAGUCUUUUCCUCCGCUUAUUGAUAUGCCCCUUGGAACAGGGCGCCAUUGAGGGUGAGAGCCCCGUGGGAUGCGCGCGGAAGCAGCAAGGCCCUUCUGACGAGUCGAGUUGUUUGGGAAUGCAGCUCUAAGCGGGUGGUAAAUUCCAUCUAAGGCUAAAUACUGGCGAGAGACCGAUAGCGAACAAGUACUGUGAAGGAAAGAUGAAAAGCACUUUGAAAAGAGAGUGAAACAGCACGUGAAAUUGUUGAAAGGGAAGGGUAUUGGGCCCGACAUGGGGAUUGCGCAUCUCUGCUCCUUGUGGGCGGGGCGCUGUGCUUUUCCUGGGCCAGCAUCGGUUUUUGCCGCAGGAGAAGGGGUACUGGAAUGUGGCUCCUCGGAGUGUUAUAGCCAGUGCCAGAUGCUGCGUGCGGGGACCGAGGGCUGCGACAUCUGUCUCGGAUGCUGGCACAACGGCGCAAUACCGCCCGUCUUGAA